AGUGAACGCUGGCGGUAGGCCUAACACAUGCAAGUCGAACGGCAGCACAGUAAGAGCUUGCUCUUACGGGUGGCGAGUGGCGGACGGGUGAGGAAUACAUCGGAAUCUACUUUUUCGUGGGGGAUAACGUAGGGAAACUUACGCUAAUACCGCAUACGACCUACGGGUGAAAGCAGUGGAUCUUCGGACCUUGCGCGAUUGAAUGAGCCGAUGUCGGAUUAGCUAGUUGGCGGGGUAAAGGCCCACCAAGUCGACGAUCCGUAGCUGGUCUGAGAGGAUGGUCAGCCACACUGGAACUGAGACACGGUCCAGACUCCUACGGGAGGCAGCAGUGGGGAAUAUUGGGCAAUGGGCGGAAGCCUGAUCCAGCCAUACCGCGUGGGUGAAGAAGGCCUUCGGGUUGUAAAGCCCUUUUGUUGGGAAAGAAAAGCAGCAGGUUAAUACCCCGCUGUUCUGACGGUACCCAAAGAAUAAGCACCGGCUAACUUCGUG
This 492-nucleotide ribosomal RNA is filed under the name uncultured bacterium. RNAcentral's name for it is "partial 16S ribosomal RNA". It matches the Rfam family "Bacterial small subunit ribosomal RNA", at positions 29 to 507 of the family's 1533-position model. The record is from RNAcentral.